Long non-coding RNA from Arachis ipaensis, 1365 nucleotides. RefSeq lists it as uncharacterized. The record is from RefSeq and is a predicted model, not a curated record. NCBI's taxonomy places the organism in Eukaryota, Viridiplantae, Streptophyta, Magnoliopsida, Fabales, Fabaceae.
UGACUCCCACUUCCCCGUUUUACAAAAUCGAGAGAGAGAGAGUUCAAACCCUAACGCUUUUCACCCACUCAUUCAAUCUCACUUUUCUCUCAAUUCGGAACUCCGAUCAAAAACCCGUUUGUGACCACACGAUCACCUCAUCAUUCUCUUCGAUUCUAUCAAACUUUUGUGGGAAGCUUAAUCUCGAGUCUAGAGUGAUUUUGACCCAAAAUUUUGUAGUACAAGAUUCAGUAGAGUUGCUUGAUGGUUUUGGUGCGGAUUUGGGUGUAACACUUGAAUGGAGGAUGAUCAGGCAAGGCUUGGUUGUGUUGAUUAAAGCUUGAGUGUGAUCGGAGAGAAGAUUCAAGGGAUUUGGAAACCGUCAUCAACAAAGGUACUUGUCUUGAUUUCGGGGGAAUAUUAUAUAAUGUUAUGUGAAAAACUAGGCUGUAAAAUGCAGUUAAAUAAUAAAUAAUUAACUAAUAAAUUAAUCAUGAGCAAAAAGGGUUAAAAGAUUAAAAUUUUGUAGUUGAAAAAAUUAAAAAUAACUAGAAUACAAAUUAAAACACUAAUCUUAAAGAGUUUGGCCUAAAAUUGGGCCAACAAGCUAAAACAAGUAAACUAGACCCAUGUUGGGCCCAAGCCCACAUACAUAACUCCUCUAGCUUAGCCAAGAUUCCUCAUUUCCCCUUUCUUCAUUGAGUUCCAUGGAAGUGAAGAGAAGAGAAUGAGAAAACCUAAUGUCACUAUUCAUCCUCUUCUUAAAUUGAUCAUAACUUUCAAUCUGGAGUUUCGAUUGACGAGCCGUUUGUGGUCACGCAUUUGUUUCGGAAUCCUCUUCAUUUCUAUUUGAACAUUCUGGUAAGAAACCCUUAAAUCUUUUCCCAUUUCUCCUUUUACUUUAAUUUCGCAUGUUUGGUUAAAUGAGUAUUGAGAUAUCGUGAUUUUGAUGCUUUAGGGAAAGCUCAAGCACAAUCUCAAGCGGAGUUUUGAUCCAAGGCUAUGAGAAAUAAGAUGAAAUAGAGCUUGUUUGGAUUAAUUAUGGGGUGAAGCGGAGCUAGCCCGAUAGAAUUUUGGUGCGGAAUUGAUUCAAAGAUCGUUUUGGUGUGGAGUUGGUAGAGCUUGAACUGAUGGACUUUGGAGAUUUUCGAAGGAAAGCUUUCAAGGUUAAGACCUCCGUCAACAAAGAUGCAGGAUGAGAUGCACCUCGUUGAGAGUGCUGAUUUUCUCUCAGAAGUGAAGAUUAUCUUUUGGGACUUUUCAUUUUGCUUUAGAUGUUGUUAUUCUCCACUUUUGUAUAUUGUAUCUGUAUAUCCCUCAUAGAGCUUAAUUAUGGAGAAAUAUGUUGUAUAUUUUGUGUCUUUUUAGGUUGUAUUAUACUAUCUA